This 566-nucleotide long non-coding RNA is filed under the name Prunus dulcis (almond). Its description in RNAcentral is "sRNA ncRNA". The record is from RNAcentral. Lineage: Eukaryota; Viridiplantae; Streptophyta; Magnoliopsida; Rosales; Rosaceae.
CAAACACAUAAACACUACUACACACUUUCAAACCAGAGCCCAAAAAUUGGUGGUAAAACAGAGCAACCCAAGUGAGGAAAUGGCAGCAAUCAUCACAGAGCCAAAGAAGAAGGCAAUGAAAAAGAAGAACUCAACUGCAAUUGAGGGGGUAGUCUUGGGGAAGAGCAACACAACAACAUGUUGUGAAAAACCAGAGAUUGCAUCUGUAAUUCCAGCAAAGAGAAGGUCAGUGAAAAAGAUGAUGUUUGAUUCUAUUGUCCACUCUGCGUCCUCUUCUCUUUCUUGUAUCUGUGAUGAUCCUGUUGGCUCUGUUGAACCAAAAAAGGAAAAAAGUCCAAAUAACCAAAUGACUCCAUAGCCAUAGAUGGUUAUGUGUAUCAGAGUUUGCUGCAAUAUACUUGAAAAAAAGGCCAUGCACUACUAAGAGAUAUGUUUUCUUUUCCCUACUUGUUGCAAUUAAAGUUUUAAUUAUUUCCUCAAUUUGUUUCCUCCUCUUUUUCUUUUUUUUGGUGUAAUCUGGGUUAUCAAAAUCACCUGCUUACUGGUGCACAUUCUGAACAAGGACG